This 253-nucleotide ribosomal RNA is filed under the name uncultured bacterium. Its description in RNAcentral is "partial 16S ribosomal RNA". It matches the Rfam family "Bacterial small subunit ribosomal RNA", at positions 524 to 776 of the family's 1533-position model. The record is from RNAcentral.
GACGAGCCACACAAACGUUAUUCGGAAUUACUGGGCUUAAAGGGCGCGUAGGCGGCUUGGUCAGUCCCGUGUGAAAUCCCUCGGCUCAACUGAGGAACUGCACGGGAAACUGCCUGGCUUGAGUUCGGGAGAGGGAAGCGGAAUUCCGGGUGUAGCGGUGAAAUGCGUAGAUAUCCGGAGGAACACCGGUGGCGAAGGCGGCUUCCUGGACCGACACUGACGCUGAGGCGCGAAAGCUAGGGGAGCAAACGGG